Molecule: non-coding RNA, 48 nt
Organism: Schistosoma mattheei
Lineage: Eukaryota; Metazoa; Platyhelminthes; Trematoda; Strigeidida; Schistosomatidae
Source: Rfam
AUCUAACUGACGAGUCUCAAAUAGGACGAAACACGAGUCAAACUGGAU